AGAGCGAACGCUGGCGGCAGGCUUAACACAUGCAAGUCGAGCGGGCGUAGCAAUACGUCAGCGGCAGACGGGUGAGUAACGCGUGGGAACAUACCUUUUGGUUCGGAACAACACAGGGAAACUUGUGCUAAUACCGGAUAAGCCCUUACGGGGAAAGAUUUAUCGCCGAAAGAUUGGCCCGCGUCUGAUUAGCUAGCUGGUGAGGUAACGGCUCACCAAGGCGACGAUCAGUAGCUGGUCUGAGAGGAUGAUCAGCCACAUUGGGACUGAGACACGGCCCAAACUCCUACGGGAGGCAGCAGUGGGGAAUAUUGGACAAUGGGCGCAAGCCUGACACAGCGACACCGCGUGAACGAAGAAGCUCUUUGGAGUGUAAAGUUCUGUCGGCUGGAACGAAAACAUGACGGUACCAGCAAAGGAAGCAUCGGCUAACUACGUGCCAGCAGCCGC
Molecule: ribosomal RNA, 450 nt
Filed under: uncultured bacterium
Lineage: Bacteria
Description: partial small subunit ribosomal RNA
Rfam family: Bacterial small subunit ribosomal RNA
Source: RNAcentral